RNAcentral lists this ribosomal RNA (593 nucleotides) under Parascedosporium putredinis. RNAcentral's name for it is "partial large subunit ribosomal RNA". It matches the Rfam family "Eukaryotic large subunit ribosomal RNA", at positions 50 to 663 of the family's 3401-position model. The record is from RNAcentral. Lineage: Eukaryota; Fungi; Ascomycota; Sordariomycetes; Microascales; Microascaceae.
GCGGAGGAAAAGAAACCAACAGGGAUUGCCUCAGUAACGGCGAGUGAAGCGGCAACAGCUCAAAUUUGAAAUCUGGUCGCCUGUGCGGCCCGAGUUGUAAUUUGAAGAGGAUGCUUUUGACAAUGUGCCUUCCGAGUUCCCUGGAAUGGGACGCCAUAGAGGGUGAGAGCCCCGUAUGGUAGGUUACUGCGUCUCUGUAAAGCUCCUUCGACGAGUCGAGUAGUUUGGGAAUGCUGCUCAAAAUGGGAGGUAAACCCCUUCUAAAGCUAAAUAUUGGCCAGAGACCGAUAGCGCACAAGUAGAGUGAUCGAAAGAUGAAAAGCACUUUGAAAAGAGAGUUAAACAGCACGUGAAAUUGUUGAAAGGGAAGCGUUUGCGACCAGACUUGUGCUCGUCGAAUCAGCCGUCGCUCGUCGGCGGUGCAUUUCGGCGGGCUCAGGCCAGCAUCAGUUCGCUGUAGGGGGAGAAAGGCGGAAGGAAUGUGGCUCUUCGGAGUGUUAUAGCCUACCGUAUAAUACCCCUCGGUGGACUGAGGACCGCGCAUCUGCAAGGAUGCUGGCGUAAUGGUUGUCAGCGACCCGUCUUGAAACACG